RNAcentral lists this ribosomal RNA (377 nucleotides) under uncultured eukaryote. Its description in RNAcentral is "partial 18S ribosomal RNA". It matches the Rfam family "Eukaryotic small subunit ribosomal RNA", at positions 592 to 976 of the family's 1831-position model. The record is from RNAcentral.
CAAUAGCGUAUAUUAAUGUUGUUGCAGUUAAAAAGCUCGUAGUUGGAUUUCUGACGGGAGCCCUGGUCACUUUAACGAGUGUACUGAAGUGGCGUCUUGUCGUUUCAUGGGGAUGCUUGCUGGUAUUAAGUUAUCGGCUUGUGGAUCCAUGUCGUUUACUGUGAAAAAAUUAGAGUGUUCAAAGCAGGCCAUCGCUGUGAAUACAUUAGCAUGGAAUAAUAAGAUAGGACUGUGGUGCUAUUUUGUUGGUUUGCGUACUACGGUAAUGAUUAAUAGGGAUAGUUGGGGGUAUUCAUAUUCAAUUGUCAGAGGUGAAAUUCUUGGAUUUAUGGAAGAUGAACUACUGCGAAAGCAUUUACCAAGGAUGUUUUCAUUAA